UCCCGUGUGGCUCAGUUGGUAGAGCAUGGUGUUUGCAAUGCCAGGGUUGUGGGUUCAAUUCCCACGGGGGGGG
RNAcentral lists this transfer RNA (73 nucleotides) under Salmo salar (Atlantic salmon). It matches the Rfam family "tRNA". Rfam says of the family: Transfer RNA (tRNA) molecules are approximately 80 nucleotides in length. Their secondary structure includes four short double-helical elements and three loops (D, anti-codon, and T loops). Lineage: Eukaryota; Metazoa; Chordata; Actinopteri; Salmoniformes; Salmonidae. The record is from Rfam by way of RNAcentral.